This 935-nucleotide long non-coding RNA is filed under the name Zonotrichia albicollis (white-throated sparrow). Its description in RNAcentral is "lncRNA (ENSZALG00000004576.1)". Lineage: Eukaryota; Metazoa; Chordata; Aves; Passeriformes; Passerellidae. The record is from RNAcentral.
AAUUUUCUGGAUUUUUCCCGCAAUUUUCUGGAAUUUCCCAGAAUUUCCCAGAAUUUUCCGGAAUUUUCCGGAAUUUCCCAUGCUCAGAUUUUCCCGUUUUCCCCCAGUGCCGCGACGUGAGGACGCGCGAGGUCGGGAUUCAGGAGAUCCACCACAAAGUGAGGCCCUACCAGGUGGAGCUGGUCCGGCGGGACUACGUGGCCAAUUCCAAAUUCCCAUUUAAAUUCAGUUGCCUUUAGGGAAUCCAUUCCUGUCUGCCCAUAUUAACGGAUCCACAGAAUCAUUUCCCAUUUCCCAUUUUCCAUUUUCCCUCUUUUCCUCCUCUUCCUCCAUCCCGUUCCCGUCCCAGCUGGAGCUGAUCCAUUGGGAUCACACGGCCAAUUCCAAAUUCCCAUUUAAAUUCAGUUGCCCUUAGAGAAUCCAUUCCUGUUUUCCCACACUAACAGAUCCACGGAAUCAUUUCCCAUUUCCCAUUUUCCCUCUGUCUCCCAUCGCAGGUGGAGCUGAUCCAUCAGGAUCACGUGGCCAAUUCCAAAUUCCCAUUUAAAUUCACUUGCCUUUAGAGAAUCCCUUCCUGUCUGCCCAUAUUAAUGGAUCCACGGAAUCGCCUCCCAUUUCCCAUUUCCCAUUUCCCUGGCUCUCUCGUCGCAGGUGGAGCUGAUCCAUCGGGAUCACACGGCCAAUUCCAAAUUCCUGUUUAAAUUCAAUUGCCUUUAGAGAAUCCCUUCCUGUUUGCCCACACUAACGGAUCCACGGAAUUGUUUCCCAUUUCCCAUUUUCCAUUUUCCCUCUUUUUCUCCUCCUCCUCCUCCGCCCCAUUCCCAUCCCAGGUGGAGCUGAUCCAUCAGGAUCACACGGCCAAUUCCAAAUUCCCAUUUAAAUUCAGUUGCCCUUAGAGAAUCCAUUCCUGUUUGCCCACACUAACGAAUCCACGG